CCUACGGGAGGCAGCAGUAGGGAAUCUUUCACAAUGGACGAAAGCCUGAUGGAGCAACGCCGCGUGCAGGAUGAAGGCCUUCGGGUUGUAAACUUCUUUUAUCAGAGAGGAAUAUGAUGGUAACUUAUGAAUACUGAUCGGCUAACUACUUGCCAGCAGCCGCGGUCAUACGUAGGAUCCGAGCAUUAUCCGGAGUGACUGGGGGUAAAGAGUUGCGUAGGUGGCAUAAUAAGUAGCUAGUGAAAUCGGGUGGCUCAACCAUUCAGACUAUUAGCUAAACUGUUAAGCUCGAGACCGUUAGGGGUAACUGGAAUUUCUAGUGUAGGAGUGAAAUGCGUAGAUAUUAGAAGGAACACCAAUAGCGUAGGCAGGUUACUGGGACGGAUCUGACACUAAGGCACGAAAGCGUAGGGAGCAAACGGGAUUAGAUACCCCAGUAGUC
Molecule: ribosomal RNA, 442 nt
Filed under: uncultured bacterium
Lineage: Bacteria
Description: partial 16S ribosomal RNA
Rfam family: Bacterial small subunit ribosomal RNA
Source: RNAcentral